GCCAGGCAUGGUGGUGCAUGCCUGUAAUCCCAGCUACUCAGGAGGCCGAGGCAGGAGAAUUGCUUGAACCCGGGAGGCAGAGGUUGCAGUGAGCAGAGAUGGUGCCACUGCACUCCAGCCUGGGUGACAGAGCAAGACUCUUGUCUCAA
Non-coding RNA from Chlorocebus sabaeus (green monkey), 149 nucleotides. It matches the Rfam family "Metazoan signal recognition particle RNA". Rfam says of the family: The signal recognition particle (SRP) is a universally conserved ribonucleoprotein. The record is from Rfam. Lineage: Eukaryota; Metazoa; Chordata; Mammalia; Primates; Cercopithecidae.